GCUCUUCUAGUAUAUUUAUUACAAUUGACUUCCAAUCUCUAGAAUCUGGAUCACCCCAGAGAAGAGCA
Molecule: transfer RNA, 68 nt
Filed under: Tachuris rubrigastra
Lineage: Eukaryota; Metazoa; Chordata; Aves; Passeriformes; Tyrannidae
Description: tRNA-Gly
Source: RNAcentral